AAAUCUUGACAUCCUCUGACCCCUCUAGAGAUAGAGUUUUCCCCUUCGGGGGACAGAGUGACAGGUGGUGCAUGGUUGUCGUCAGCUCGUGUCGUGAGAUGUUGGGUUAAGUCCCGCAACGAGCGCAACCCUUAAGCUUAGUUGCCAUCAUUAAGUUGGGCACUCUAAGUUGACUGCCGGUGACAAACCGGAGGAAGGUGGGGAUGACGUCAAAUCAUCAUGCCCCUUAUGAUUUGGGCUACA
Molecule: ribosomal RNA, 243 nt
Filed under: uncultured bacterium
Lineage: Bacteria
Description: partial 16S ribosomal RNA
Rfam family: Bacterial small subunit ribosomal RNA
Source: RNAcentral